CCUACGGGUGGCAGCAGUUAGGAAUUUUGCGCAAUGGGGGAAACCCUGACGCAGCAACGCCGCGUGAGUGAUGAAGGCCUUCGGGUUGUAAAGCUCUUUUAGUUGGGAAGAAAAAAAUGACGGUACCAACAGAAAAAGCACCGGCUAACUCCGUGCCAGCAGCCGCGGUAAUACGGAGGGUGCAAGCGUUAUUCGGAAUUACUGGGCGUAAAGCGCGUGUAGGCGGUUUGGUAAGUCUGGUGUGAAAUCCCUGGACUCAAUUCAGGAAGUGCAUUGGAUACUGCCAAACUGGAGUAUAGGAGAGGAAAGCGGAAUUCCUGGUGUAGAGGUGAAAUUCGUAGAUAUCAGGAGGAACAACAGUGGCGUAGGCGGCUUUCUGGACUAUAACUGACGCUAAGGCGCGAAAGCGUGGGGAGCAAACAGGAUUAGAUACCCUAGUAGUC
This 443-nucleotide ribosomal RNA is filed under the name uncultured bacterium. RNAcentral's name for it is "partial 16S ribosomal RNA". It matches the Rfam family "Bacterial small subunit ribosomal RNA", at positions 338 to 795 of the family's 1533-position model. The record is from RNAcentral.